CAAUAAAGACACGUAGAAGUUUGUCAAAUGAAAUAAACGAAGGCCGAAGAAAAUGGAAUCCAAUGAUAAUAGCAUUGGAAGGUGGAGGUAUAUUGGAUAGAAGUGCUUUACUGACUCUCCUGAGGAGAAGUCCCAGAAGCUGCUAAUGACUCUGGAGGUACUGAACUUGAUAUAUUUGAUACACAAGGCACCCUUCAGGGGACAAGUGAGAGAGGAUAAAACAUAAGUGUAGCAGAGAUCUCUUUCCAGAUUGAAUUCAGGAUGGUCCAGCUGAACAAGAAGUUGAAGUUUAACUCAGACUAUUUGCAAUGAGAAAGUAUGAGUUAGUUUUGCAACCAAGUUUCAAAUCAGUCAGUUGAUGUUUAAUAGAAUGAAAUCAGAUCAUUGAAUAUUUAUUAUCUAAUAUUGUAAAUAGAAGCAUGUUUCCUAAGCAGGAAGGCUGAAAUAAAUGAGUAUGCAUUUUAAGUUUCUCAUUACAGGUGUGAAAUUUUAGCCUUGGUUGUUAUGUAGAUCAUUAAAUGUGAGACUUUUUCACUUUUAUUUAUGUUAAUAAAAGAGUUUGCAUGCCAAUUGUGUAAGGAUAAUGGUUCUCAGUUCUAUCACAUCCUUUUGUUAACCCUCAACCUUUUGGUGUGUCGUAUAACUGAGUAAUUUCAUGAAAUUUUCAGUUAGGGAACUUGGCUUGACUAAGUUGCUAAGUUUGGGGUGGGUCUUAUAACCAAGUUUGCCUUAAAACCAAGAAAGUAUGGUAACUGAAAAAAAUGCAUGUGUGCAUGGUAGAAUUAUUGUAAGUACAGUACCACCUAGUGACAAAAAUAAAUGAUUUCCUGUAUGCAUGAAUGUUUAGGAGAAGUUAUGGUGGUAACUGACCCUAUUUUUGCUAGGAUGCAUAAGGUUUGAUGAUUGAAAUGUGUAUCUUUUAGCUUUAAAACUUUCAACUUCUAUUAAUUGUAACUGUUGAGCAGAUCUUUUUCUCUGUACCUUAAGCCCUAAAAAGUUCAAGCAGGUGAGACUUUAACCUGACUUCCUCUGUUUGGAAUUGUGUCAUUAUGUAAUUUUGUUGUAUAAGUUACCACAUUGGAAUGUGUAAUAUUAUCUAGAUUGCAUUAAAUACUCUGGCCCAAGCUGUCAAUAGUGCUUGAUGUUUCUUACAAAUACCCAGGUAACCUCUGUUUGGAACUGUGUCAUUACAUAAUUUUGUUGUGUUAGUUACCACAUUGUAAUGUGUAAUAUUAUUUAGAUUGCAUUAAAUGCUCCAUUAACUUCA
This is a long non-coding RNA of Pocillopora damicornis (cauliflower coral), 1267 nucleotides long. RefSeq lists it as uncharacterized. Lineage: Eukaryota; Metazoa; Cnidaria; Anthozoa; Scleractinia; Pocilloporidae. The record is from RefSeq and is a predicted model, not a curated record.